UUACGGCCAUAUCACGUUGAAACACCGGUUUCCGUAUGAUCACCCAAGUUGAGCAACAUCGAGCCUAGUCAGUAGCUAGAUGGGUGACCGUUUAAGACUAUCAAGUGCUGUAAG
Acanthosepion pharaonis is the source of this 114-nucleotide non-coding RNA. The record is from the annotation of a GenBank genome assembly. Lineage: Eukaryota; Metazoa; Mollusca; Cephalopoda; Sepiida; Sepiidae.